Molecule: RNase P RNA, 325 nt
Filed under: marine eukaryotic metagenome
Description: Bacterial RNase P class A
Rfam family: Bacterial RNase P class A
About the family: Ribonuclease P (RNase P) is a ubiquitous endoribonuclease, found in archaea, bacteria and eukarya as well as chloroplasts and mitochondria.
Source: RNAcentral
GUAGGUAAGGGAAUCGCCGGUUGCGAUAAGUGACUGGAGGAAAGUCCGAGCUACAUCAGGAAGAGGGCCGGGUAACUCCCGGGAGGAGUGAUCCUAUGGAAAGUGCAGCAGAAAAAAUACCGCCCACACCUGUGGGUAAGGGUGAAAUGGUAAGGUAAGAGCUUACCGCCUUUUCCAGCAAUGGAAUCGGGCAAUGUAAACCCCCCUCGUAGCAAAAUCAAGCAGCAGAUUAUCCUAAUAAUUAUCUGCGGGUCGAUCGCAAAAUAAAUUGGGCAACCGAUUUAUCAGAUAGAUGAUUCCUUAAACAGAACUCGGCUUAUUACCU